GAUGAAGAACGCAGCGAAAUGCGAUAAGUAGUGUGAAUUGCAGAAUUCAGUGAAUCAUCGAAUCUUUGAACGCACAUUGCGCCCCUUGGUAUUCCAUGGGGCAUGCCUGUCCGAGCGUCAUUGCUGCCCUCAAGCACGGCUUGUGUGUUGGGCCUCCGUCCUCCUCCCGGGGGACGGGCCCGAAAGGCAGCGGCGGCACCGCGUCCGGUCCUCGAGCGUAUGGGGCUUCGUCACCCGCUCUUGUAGGCCCGGCCGGCGCUUGCCGACACAUCAAUCUUUUUUCCAGGUUGACCUCGGAUCAGGUAGGGAUACCCGCUGAACUUAAGCAUAUCAAUAAGCGGAGGA
RNAcentral lists this unclassified non-coding RNA (345 nucleotides) under soil metagenome. RNAcentral describes it as "partial contains 5.8S ribosomal RNA, internal transcribed spacer 2, and large subunit ribosomal RNA". The stretch from base 1 to 120 matches the Rfam family "5.8S ribosomal RNA", at positions 35 to 154 of the family's 154-position model. The record is from RNAcentral.